Molecule: ribosomal RNA, 409 nt
Filed under: uncultured microorganism
Description: bacterial SSU rRNA
Rfam family: Bacterial small subunit ribosomal RNA
Source: RNAcentral
CAGCCGCCGCGGUAAUACGGAGGGCGCGAGCGUUGUCCGGAUUCACUGGGCGUAAAGCGUGCGCAGGCGGCCCGUUAAGACAGGUGUGAAAUCCCUGGGCUCAACCUAGGAAUUGCGCUUGUGACUGGCGGGCUCGAGUACGGUAGAGGGGGGUGGAAUUCCUGGUGUAGCAGUGAAAUGCGUAGAGAUCAGGAGGAACACCGAUGGCGAAGGCAGCCCCCUGGGCCUGUACUGACGCUCAUGCACGAAAGCGUGGGGAGCAAACAGGAUUAGAUACCCUGGUAGUCCACGCCCUAAACGAUGGGUACUAGCCGUUUGGUGCGCGAUAGCGCUGAGUGGCGAAGCUAACGCGUGAAGUACCCCGCCUGGGAGUACGGCCGCAAGGUUGAAACUUAAAGGAAUUGGCGGG